CCCAGCCGCCGGCCUCCGACCUGCGUCCCCGGGCCUUCCUCCCGCGGGGGGCGGGGGGUCCGGAGGGAGAACGCAGUGCGAGAGGAACAGUUUCCAAAGACCUAUUCUUGAGCAUGUAAGCGGAGCAAGAUUAAUACUUUUGGAACCGUCUCCGGUCGCCUUGCCAAGGGCGCAGGUUUUCCAGCCUUAAAGGAAGCCCGUUCAGCGAGGCUGAGGUGGGCCUGGAACCAGCCAGAGCUGAGCCUCUGGAGGGCCUCGAGCCGAGCCGCCGUCCACCUGUGACCUCGAGCCUUCCGUGCCUGCUGGGUCUGGUUCUGCACAGAGGAGUCCUGACUCCUGCUCACAGGAGUGACAGGGCUGUGACUCCCAGAGAGAUGCCAGGCUGUCAACGGAGGUCCUGGGAGGGACACAGGCCCCUUCUCUCUGCCCAGCCUGUCCAGCAACAGUGAGCUGGACACUCCGGCCAGACUCUCCCACCAGGGAACUGGAGGUGCUCCUUGUGAUGAGUUUGAGGAGGAGAGGUGCACUCUCACAUCCACUUCCAGUUAUUACCCGGAAUGCUUCCUGUCG
This is a long non-coding RNA of Canis lupus familiaris (dog), 570 nucleotides long. RefSeq lists it as uncharacterized. The transcript has 3 exons. Lineage: Eukaryota; Metazoa; Chordata; Mammalia; Carnivora; Canidae. The record is from RefSeq and is a predicted model, not a curated record.